CGGAGUAUGGCGCAGUUUGGUAGCGCACCUGAUUUGGGAUCAGGGGGCCGCAGGUUCAAAUCCUGUUACUCCGA
RNAcentral lists this transfer RNA (74 nucleotides) under Enterococcus sp. Its description in RNAcentral is "tRNA-Pro". It matches the Rfam family "tRNA". From Rfam's summary of the family: Transfer RNA (tRNA) molecules are approximately 80 nucleotides in length. Their secondary structure includes four short double-helical elements and three loops (D, anti-codon, and T loops). Further hydrogen bonds mediate the characteristic L-shaped molecular structure. tRNAs have two regions of fundamental functional importance: the anti-codon, which is responsible for specific mRNA codon recognition, and the 3' end, to which the tRNAs corresponding amino acid is attached (by aminoacyl-tRNA synthetases). tRNAs cope with the degeneracy of the genetic code in two manners: having more than one tRNA (with a specific anti-codon) for a particular amino acid; and 'wobble' base-pairing, i.e. permitting non-standard base-pairing at the 3rd anti-codon position. The record is from RNAcentral. Lineage: Bacteria; Bacillati; Bacillota; Bacilli; Lactobacillales; Enterococcaceae.